GGCAGACAGGGUGCGUUCGAUCUUCUCCCUGGGGAGGCUAGCCUGCAUAUGUACAGAGUCCAGCACCACCCCCAAGAAGUUGAUGACUAUGGAAAGAAAAUCAUCCAGGUAAUGAAUAAUGGUAGGGCAUCUACAGGUGUUAAGCAGUAUCCAACACAACAUCUCGGCAAACAUAUCAAAAGUUCUUGGGCUGCUCUUAGAACCGAAUGUGAGACGUGUGAAAAAAUAGUAUGCCCCUUGCCAUUUAACACCAUGUAAAUGCCACAGGGAUGGAUGAAUAGGAA
Non-coding RNA from Pelobates cultripes (western spadefoot toad), 284 nucleotides. The record is from the annotation of a GenBank genome assembly. Lineage: Eukaryota; Metazoa; Chordata; Amphibia; Anura; Pelobatidae.